RNAcentral lists this ribosomal RNA (393 nucleotides) under uncultured bacterium. RNAcentral's name for it is "partial 16S ribosomal RNA". It matches the Rfam family "Bacterial small subunit ribosomal RNA", at positions 523 to 918 of the family's 1533-position model. The record is from RNAcentral.
AUACGGAGGGUCCGAGCGUUAUCCGGAUUUAUUGGGUUUAAAGGGAGCGUAGGUGGGAUAUUAAGUCAGCUGUGAAAGUUUGGGGCUCGACCUUAAAAUUGCAGUUGAUACUGGUUUCCUUGAGUACGGUACAGGUGGGCGGAAUUCGUGGUGUAGCGGUGAAAUGCUUAGAUAUCACGAAGAACUCCGAUCGCGAAGGCAGCUCACCGGGCCGGAACUGACACUGAUGCUCGAAAGUGCGGGUAUCAAACAGGAUUAGAUACCCUGGUAGUCCGCACAGUAAACGAUGAAUACUCGCUGUUUGCGAUACACUGUAAGCGGCCAAGCGAAAGCGUUAAGUAUUCCACCUGGGGAGUACGCCGGCAACGGUGAAACUUAAAGGAAUUGACGGGG